This 2142-nucleotide ribosomal RNA is filed under the name human gut metagenome. RNAcentral describes it as "bacterial LSU rRNA". It matches the Rfam family "Bacterial large subunit ribosomal RNA", at positions 1 to 1981 of the family's 2925-position model. The record is from RNAcentral.
GCAAGUUGUUAAGUGCGAUCGGUGGAUGCCUUGGCACCAAGAGCCGAUGAAGGACGUUGUAACCUGCGAUAAGCCCUGGGGAGUUGGUAAACGAGCUGUGAUCCGGGGGUGUCCGAAUGGGGAAACCUGGAAUGUCCGGAGUAGUGUCCGGUGACCCUGCCCUGAAUGUAUAGGGGUGUGGGAGGUAACGCGGGGAAGUGAAACAUCUUAGUACCCGUAGGAAGAGAAAACAACCGUGAUUCCGUGAGUAGUGGCGAGCGAAAGUGGAUGAGGCUAAACCGUGUGUGUGUGUUCAAGCCGGCAGGUGUUGCAUGUGCGGGGUUGUGGGGGCCUUUUGGUUCUGCUGCCGCAGGAUUGGCCAGUGAUAAAUGUUGCGUGAAGGUGAAGCGUCUGGGAAGGCGUACCGGAGUGGGUGAGAGUCCCGUAACUGUAAGCGUGGCACUGGUGAGGGUUGCCCCAAGUAGCGUGGAACUCGUGGAAUUUCGCGUGAAUCUGGCGGGACCACCCGUCAAGCCUAAAUACUCCUUGGUGACCGAUAGUGUAUUAGUACCGUGAGGGAAUGGUGAAAAGUACCCCGGGAGGGGAGUGAAAUAGUACCUGAAACCGGUCGCAUACAAGCCGUCAGAGCCUUGUGGGGUGAUGGCGUGCCUUUUGAAGAAUGAGCCUGCGAGUUAGUGAUGCGUGGCGAGGUUAACCUGUGUGGGGGAGUCGUAGCGAAAGCGAGUCUGAUAAGGGCGUGAGUCGCGUGUUCUAGACCCGAAGCGGUGUGAUCUAUCCAUGGCCAGGAUGAAGCGUCGGUAAGACGUCGUGGAGGUCCGAACCCACUUCAGUUGAAAAUGGAGGGGAUGAGCUGUGGAUAGGGGUGAAAGGCCAAUCAAACACCGUGAUAGCUGGUUCUCCCCGAAAUGCAUUUAGGUGCAGCGUUGCGUGGUUCUUGUCGGAGGUAGAGCACUGGAUGGUCUAGGGGGCCUAUCAGCUUACCGAAAUCAGCCAAACUCCGAAUGCCGGCAAGUGGAGCGUGGCAGUGAGACGGCGGGGGAUAAGCUUCGUCGUCGAGAGGGAAACAGCCCAGAUCAUCAGCUAAGGCCCCUAAGUGGUAGCUCAGUGGAAAAGGAUGUGGAGUUGCGCAGACAGCCAGGAGGUUGGCUUGGAAGCAGCCAUCCUUGAAAGAGUGCGUAAUAGCUCACUGGUCAAGUGAUUCCGCGCCGACAAUGUAGCGGGGCUUAAGUUAUCCGCCGAAGCUGUGGCAAACCCGUUUUGCGGGUUUGGGUAGGGGAGCGUCCUGUACGAGGUGAAGCUGCCGGGUGACCGUGUGGUGGAUUGUGCGGGAGUGAGAAUGCAGGCAUGAGUAGCGAAUGACGGGUGAAAAACCCGUCCGCCGAUUAUCCAAGGGUUCCAGGGUCAAGUUAAUCUGCCCUGGGUGAGUCGGGACCUAAGGCGAGGCCGACAGGCGUAGUCGAUGGAUAACCAGUUGAUAUUCUGGUACCGGCUUGUCACCGUCCGUGUCGAGGUGUGUGAUGCUAAGCGUGCGAGCCUGCCAUUGUGAUGUCUUUGAUGUUGUGGUGGUGUGGUGAGUGUGUGAACCGAUCAUGUAGUAGGCAAGCUGCGGAGGGACGCAGGGAGGUAGCUCAUCCCCGGCGAUGGUUGUCCGGGGCUAAAUGUGUGGACCGUCUGGUAGGUAAAUCCGCUGGGCAUAUGGUUGAGGCAUGAUGGCGAGCCCACGUGUGUGGGUGAGUGAGUGAUCCUGUACUGUCGAGAAAAGCUUCGUGAGCGAGGUGGCUGGUCCGCCCGUACCCUAAACCGACACUGGUGGAUAGGUAGAGUAUACCGAGGCGAUCGAGAUCAUCAUGGUGAAGGAACUCGGCAAAAUGCCCCCGUAACUUCGGGAUAAGGGGGACCUGAACUGUUAAGGCCUGUACGGCUGGUAGCAGUGAGGGGCGCAGAGACCAGGGGGAAACGACUGUUUACCAAAAACACAGGUCCGUGCGAAGUCGUAAGACGAUGUAUACGGACUGACUCCUGCCCGGUGCUGGAAGGUUAAGGGGAACUGUUAGCGUUGGCGAAGCGGUGAACUUAAGCCCCAGUAAACGGCGGUGGUAACUAUAACCAUCCUAAGGUAGCGAAAUUCCUUGUCGGGUAAGU